Molecule: ribosomal RNA, 1538 nt
Filed under: Klebsiella pneumoniae
Lineage: Bacteria; Pseudomonadati; Pseudomonadota; Gammaproteobacteria; Enterobacterales; Enterobacteriaceae
Description: bacterial SSU rRNA
Rfam family: Bacterial small subunit ribosomal RNA
Source: RNAcentral
AAAUUGAAGAGUUUGAUCAUGGCUCAGAUUGAACGCUGGCGGCAGGCCUAACACAUGCAAGUCGAGCGGUAGCACAGAGAGCUUGCUCUCGGGUGACGAGCGGCGGACGGGUGAGUAAUGUCUGGGAAACUGCCUGAUGGAGGGGAUAACUACUGGAAACGGUAGCUAAUACCGCAUAACGUCGCAAGACCAAAGUGGGGGACCUUCGGGCCUCAUGCCAUCAGAUGUGCCCAGAUGGGAUUAGCUAGUAGGUGGGGUAACGGCUCACCUAGGCGACGAUCCCUAGCUGGUCUGAGAGGAUGACCAGCCACACUGGAACUGAGACACGGUCCAGACUCCUACGGGAGGCAGCAGUGGGGAAUAUUGCACAAUGGGCGCAAGCCUGAUGCAGCCAUGCCGCGUGUGAAGAAGGCCUUCGGGUUGUAAAGCACUUUCAGCGGGGAGGAAGGCGUAAGGUUAAUAACCUCGAUUGACGUUACCCGCAGAAGAAGCACCGGCUAACUCCGUGCCAGCAGCCGCGGUAAUACGGAGGGUGCAAGCGUUAAUCGGAAUUACUGGGCGUAAAGCGCACGCAGGCGGUCUGUCAAGUCGGAUGUGAAAUCCCCGGGCUCAACCUGGGAACUGCAUUCGAAACUGGCAGGCUAGAGUCUUGUAGAGGGGGUAGAAUUCCAGGUGUAGCGGUGAAAUGCGUAGAGAUCUGGAGGAAUACCGGUGGCGAAGGCGGCCCCCUGGACAAAGACUGACGCUCAGGUGCGAAAGCGUGGGGAGCAAACAGGAUUAGAUACCCUGGUAGUCCACGCCGUAAACGAUGUCGAUUUGGAGGUUGUGCCCUUGAGGCGUGGCUUCCGGAGCUAACGCGUUAAAUCGACCGCCUGGGGAGUACGGCCGCAAGGUUAAAACUCAAAUGAAUUGACGGGGGCCCGCACAAGCGGUGGAGCAUGUGGUUUAAUUCGAUGCAACGCGAAGAACCUUACCUGGUCUUGACAUCCACAGAACUUUCCAGAGAUGGAUUGGUGCCUUCGGGAACUGUGAGACAGGUGCUGCAUGGCUGUCGUCAGCUCGUGUUGUGAAAUGUUGGGUUAAGUCCCGCAACGAGCGCAACCCUUAUCCUUUGUUGCCAGCGGUCCGGCCGGGAACUCAAAGGAGACUGCCAGUGAUAAACUGGAGGAAGGUGGGGAUGACGUCAAGUCAUCAUGGCCUUACGACCAGGGCUACACACGUGCUACAAUGGCAUAUACAAAGAGAAGCGACCUCGCGAGAGCAAGCGGACCUCAUAAAGUAUGUCGUAGUCCGGAUUGGAGUCUGCAACUCGACUCCAUGAAGUCGGAAUCGCUAGUAAUCGUAGAUCAGAAUGCUACGGUGAAUACGUUCCCGGGCCUUGUACACCGCCCGUCACACCAUGGGAGUGGGUUGCAAAGAAGUAGGUAGCUUAACCUUCGGGAGGGCGCUUACCACUUUGUGAUUCAUGACUGGGGUGAAGUCGUAACAAGGUAACCGUAGGGGAACCUGCGGUUGGAUCACCUCCUUACCUUAAAGAA